GCCGGCCGUAGGAGACACUCACAACCAGCUUGCGGGCGGAGGGGGGCGCCUCGGGCGCGGGCAGGGAGGGGCGGAGCGGAAACGGGCCCCACGUUAGCUUUUAUUAGGACCUGGCCCGCCGCGAGGAGAUGACAGUCACCGAACUCGCUGUUUGGGCCCGAGGGUUCGCUCCUCCAGGGCUGGCUCCCGCCGCGCAUUUCCACAGAGGGCCUCCCGUCCGGACCAGGACUUCCUUAGGGACCCUCCAGACCGCGCGCCACCCGAGCACGAGGGCGAGAGAGAUCAUGCCACCCCGACGGCCGAGAGGGCGAACCCGGGCCGGGGGCGAGUCACGGGGCCGGGAGCUAAGACAGGGGCGGGCCGGGCGGUGACCGCAGACGUCGCCAUCGUGGUACCUCCCGCCGACCCAGGCGCGUCCGACCAGCUGCCCUCCCCGUCUCCCGGGUCCGCCUCCGGUUCUCGGUUCUCGGGGCUCUCCGCGCUAGGCUCCGUCACUUGGAACGGCCCGUGCUCCAGGCGCGGGCGGCGUCUUGGGACAGGGCGACGGCGGCAGGGGACCGGUCUCGGUUAUACCGCGGUGAAGUGAGGAUGGGGACAGCUUCAAGUCGGCCUGGGGUCCUGGGGAGCCACACGGAUAGCAGAGCCUGCAGGGCAGUGCGUCCGGCGCGCGGCGGCGGCGGCGGCGGGGCGAUCCGGGUUCUUUCCCCGCAGGGUUGACGCCCCGGAGAGUCAGUCGGGUUGAGUGAGGGGCGAGCGUGCUGGUCCAACGAGCCUUACGGCCGAGCGUGCAGGCUUUGCGGAGAAUCCACCGUGGAACGGAACGGACGCGGGCCCGGGGGCGGGGGCGUCUAGUGGCGGGAGGCUGGAGAGGAGAGAGGAGGGGAGGAGGGCGGAGGCCGGCUCCCAGCCGCACUCACACGUUCCUACCCCGGGGGCAGCUCGCUCCCCGCCCGAGGUCCGGGCCCUGCGCCUCCCGGAUGCCCCGCGUCGACCCCGCGGCUCUCUCGGGAGCACGCGCACCGCUCUGGUCCCGCAGCUCCCCGCCACACGCCCCCUCCCUGCUCCGGCCGGCCGGGGUCACAGUUCCCAGGGAAGGACGCGAGGGAGCGGAAAGGGGUGUGAAAAUCGACCAGGAAUGCGGGGGAUGGCUGCAACCGUAACGGCGUGUGGAGCGGCCCACCGCAGCCGAGUGGGCCGAGAACGUGGCCUGAAGCUUUUCUCUUCACCGCUUACCAGGUUAUCGCUUUGUGGCCCCGAGGGCAGAGACGGAGAGCGAGCUGGCAAGUGGGAAGGAACUGGGCUCCAGCGCGGCCGGCCUGAGUAGUGGAGGCUCCACCUGCUUCCAAGUGGGCCGGCGCUUGGCUGACCUGUGUGCCACCGGAAUCCGUCUCCGCGCUUUCCAUGCGGCUCCGGGAAGUCCUGGUCUCCCCCUCUCCCCUUGGUGCCUCCACCUCUUUUUGUGUCUUGUGCUUCCCCACCCCCGGGGUCUCCUGGAACCCUGUCACUCACUCCUCUGCCAAUCCAAUCCCCCCACCACCGCCGCCACCUCUUCUCCAAGCGUUCCCCCACUCCUUCUGCCUGCUUGAACUUUGCCCUCCUCCAAACCGAGGGUUUGGUGAGGAGCAGUGUUUGAUAGGAAUGAGGAAUAACGCCUGCGCACGAGUGACUGGGCCUCCGGCUUAGAGGAUUUAAACCCGGCUCCUUCAGGUAGCUCUCAACUCGCCCUGCCUGACCGACCGACCGACCAAGCAACCGCUUACUUACCCUUAUGGAAAAAAAGUCCGGCAGAUGGGGUCAGAAGUACACAGGUCUUCCUCGGUAGGGAUGAAAAAGUCCUUCUUCCAGAUCGGUCUAUGGCAGCGUUUGAGCACCCUGGUGGCACACCGGAAUCUCCUGGGCCUUCAUUUAAAUCAGACUCCUGUCCCAGCACGGCCGGCCGGCUGAGGAGCAAUCGAAUUGGAGUCUCCGGGGUGGGGCCGAGGCUGCUGUACUUCCCAACCUGCCAGAUGUUCCUGUUGCACGGUGUGCCUCCCAGAAGCACUCCUUGGAGCACCUGGGAAGAUGCCGCAGGUCACCUUGUUCUGAACCCUGAAUGCCCUGUGACAGACACGGAAAGCGGUGGAUGCGCUCCUGCAAAUCCGGGCAUGAGUCGCUUUAGAUUUAUUUUUUUUUUAAUUUAUUUAUGAUAGACAGAGGAGGAGAGAGAGAGAGAGAGAGAGAGAGAGAGAGAGAGAGAGAGAGGCAGAGACACAGGCAGAGGAGAGGGAGAAGCAGGCUCCAUGCUGGGAGCCCGACGCGGGACUCGAUCCCGGGACUCCAGGAUCGCACCCUGGGCCAAAGGCAGGUGCGAAACCGCUGAGCCACCCAGGGAUCCCCCAUGAGUCGCUACUGGCGUGGUGUUUAGCACACCUUAGGCACUCGGCGUACCAAAGAGGAAAUAACGGAUUCCCUGGUCCUGGCACAGACAGGAGGCCACCCAGUCUAGUGGGGAGGCCCUUGGAUCCUAUACGGGAAUCUGCGGAGACCCAGUGCCAGACGGAGCUUCCGUGCUGCGCUGCUGCUCUGCGGAACCGGAUGGGCACCGCCCUUCCCAAACCCACCCUCCAAAUUUGUUUUAGAUGUGGAGACUGAUGACACCACCCGUGAGGGGAUGAGAAGGUUGACAGCUCACAUAAUGAGGCUUUCCAGGGAGACCGAGGUGGCUCCCAGGCAUAAUUCAAAAAGGGCUUGAGAGCAAGGGGUCGGUCGGUGUGUUUAUGGUGGUGAGUGGAGGGCCUGGGAUAAGGCUUUUUAUCAGCUCCAUCGACCAGAGAGGAGGAGUCAGGAGGAGAGGAGGGAGUGGCAAGGCUUCCAAGCUGUGGGCAGUCAAAUGUCCAGACCAGGUCAGACUCCCACAAGCUGCUUUCUCCUCUAGGGAAUGGGGAUGGGAAGCCGCCUUCCAUGGGCACGGUACAGAUGACUCGGGACCUUAAGUGAUCCUGCCUUCGUGCCUUCCACGACUGCAACGUCCCGGGUUCCUCCCUCCUGUCCACAUGUCCUGAAAUUCUGACUUGCACUGAAAUUCUGACCUGAAGCUCCCCUGAGACGUCGGGCAGGCCUCCGUGACUCAGCUGGCUUUGUGUUCCAUCCCACCUUCUCAUUUAUUGAGUAAGCCUCGCGCGCGUGCUCCUGGUCGGGACACAGAGCCACGUGGCUCGAGAGGCCUUGGACCUCAAAGGGGUCAUGGCCAGGUGGGAGCCACAGCCUGGUGUUCCUCUCUCACAGUCCCCUGCACAGGGAUCAUGGCGUUGUGGCCAUUUGGCCACGUGUCUUAUCCGGGUCCGGUCCUGGGCCGGAUGCUCCCAGUUGGGGGCCCGGAGGAGACAGGAACCGUGUCUGGCUUCUCUCUACUCCCAGGACCAAGCCCCGCUCUGGUGGGUGGAGUCGCAAGUGAUAAAGGACUGUUGGUUAAGUUGGAACCGGUGGUGAUGGCAGAAGGCCCAGAGUCCAGUGGGGUGGGAUCCAGACUCCAGCUCAGCCGCUGGCAGAUAUGUCCUCCUGGGCAGAUCCACUUCCCCAGGGUAAAACAAACAAACAAACACACAUGCUUUAUCACUGGGCCUCCUGGUCUGAGGGUCCGUCCACUCUGUACUGCCUGUCGCUUUCCAAAGGGGCAUCCAUUCUCUUGAGGAUUCUCCGUGCAAGUCACCCACCAUGCACCACCACCACCACCAUCACCACCCCUCCCCCAACCAUGAAUCCCUAGUGGGCAGGAAUCAGAUCACAGUCGCCUUUUAGUGUUGGGCUCUGUGUGAUUCAGCGUGCCCAGCCAUCAUCUGCGUGGAACGUAUAGGUCAGUCCUGUGGCCUCAAAGAACCAAAGGUGGUUUCUUCAAUGUGUUCUGCUUUUUUUUUUUUUUUUUUAAGUAAGCUCUUGGCCCAAUGUAGGGCUUCAACUCAUGACCCUGAGAUCAAGAAUCUCACGCUCUACCAACAGCCAGCCAAGCACCCCUGUUCUGCCCCCCCCCGUUUUUUUUGCUUGUUUGUUUGUUUUUAAGAUUUAACUUUUUUUUAAAUUUUUUAAAUUUAUUUAUUUAUGAUAGUCAGAGAGAGAGAGAGAGAGAGAGAGAGAGAGAGAGGCAGAGACACAGGCAGAGGGAGAAGCAGGCUCCAUGCACCGGGAGCCCGAUAUGGGAUUCGAUCCCGGGUCUCUCUUUUUUUUUUUUUAAUUUUUUAUUUAUUUAUGAUAGUCACAGAGAGAGAGAGGCAGAGACACAGGCAGAGGGAGAAGCAGGCUCCAUGCACCGGGAGCCCGAUGUGGGAUUCGAUCCCGGGUCUCCAGGAUCACGCCCUGAGCCAAAGGCAGGCGCCAAACCGCUGCGCCACCCAGGGAUCCCUAAGAUUUAACUUAUUUGAGAGAGAGCGAGAGAGCUUGUGUGCAGGCACACGUUAGCGGGGAGAGGGGCAGAGGGACAGGAUCUCAGGCGGACAUCCACCGCCCACACCCCCACCCACCUUCUCCCACUCUGAGCCCAGAACCCAAGGCAGGGCUUGAUCUCAGGACCCUGUGAUCUUGACCUGAGUCCAAAUCGAGGGUCCCACGCGUAACCCACGGAGCCACCCAGGCACCCCCCUGCUGUGCUACUUUUGAAAAAACCUCCAAAGGCAGGGGGUGGGCACCCGGUUGGCUUAGUGGUAGAGCACCCACCGAGAAAUUACUUGAAAAUCAGAUCUUUAAAAAAGAGACCAGGAAAAAAAAUCCAGGCACGUUACAAAAAUGUACGUGUGGUGCACUUUAGGAUCGGAGGUGGCCUCUGAUACACUGUACUGCAAGGUAGACACCAAAUGGCUGAAGAUUUAGGUGUUGAGAAAGAAGUAGAAAAAGACCUAAGGGAAGAUGUGGGACAUUAUUUUAUAACCUCAUGGUGAAGUCCUUUCUAACUGUGACUCAAGGUGGAAAGAAAAACUAUUUACUUAAAAAACGGAUCGAUGGGAUGACGUGAAAGAGGACUUUUUAAAAGUCUACUUAGGUAUUUAUUUAGUAAUGUCUACGCCCAGCGUGGGGUUCGAACCCAGGCCCCGCCCUUCCCACUGAGCCACCGGGCGCCCCCGAAAGCUACCUUUCAGUGGGUGAACCUUCGGCACCUGGCAUCGUCGCCCUACGCAAGGCCCGGAGACAGCUGUGCAACAGAAGAAAAUACUCCAGGCUUCUAUUACAGACGCGGGGCCAGAGCCCUGAAUAUGUAAAUGACAGAUAGAAGCCGAAUCAAGCACAGAGCCAGGAAGGGGCCGGAGUCCCCGACCCGAGAGUUCAGGAGGCGCAAGUCAAGGUUCUCAAGGUCUAAAUACCUGAAUCCAGGGACAUCCUCCAAAUGCCAGGAACUGCUCAUUGGCUGUCAUACCCGUCGG
This is a long non-coding RNA of Nyctereutes procyonoides (raccoon dog), 5387 nucleotides long. RefSeq lists it as uncharacterized. Lineage: Eukaryota; Metazoa; Chordata; Mammalia; Carnivora; Canidae. The record is from RefSeq and is a predicted model, not a curated record. The transcript has 5 exons.